UCCGGUGGUUAUAGCGAAGGGGCCACACCUGUUCCCAUAUCGAACACAGCAGUAAAGUCCUUCAGCGCCGAUGGUACUGCAUGGGAGACCGUGUGGGAGAGUAGGACACUGCCGGAU
This 117-nucleotide ribosomal RNA is filed under the name Deltaproteobacteria bacterium. Lineage: Bacteria; Pseudomonadati; Myxococcota; Myxococcia. The record is from RNAcentral.